Molecule: long non-coding RNA, 1218 nt
Organism: Oncorhynchus tshawytscha (Chinook salmon)
Lineage: Eukaryota; Metazoa; Chordata; Actinopteri; Salmoniformes; Salmonidae
Source: Ensembl
UUAUUGAUGGCCAGAGCUUCUGAGCUGCUGUGGAAUGGAAAUGUUUCUCCUAGCCAGAGUUAAUAGGUCUAAGUGGGAAUUGACUUUCGCUACACAACACUAACCAGACACAAAGCUUUUCUCAUCCGUUACAACUGUGUCAGGAAGAUGAGAGGGGGUUGCUGAGUCCAACAUGGAAAGGGCUUUUUCUUUACCCAUGAUGAAAUUGGAAGUAAGCACUGUUUAUCUUUGACUGCAAAAGGUGGAAACUGUAGUCCUCCAUGGCAGCAGAUUGUUGGAAAAUAAAGCAGCCUUCCUAGAUGAUUCAUUGUUGUGCUGUGGUAUCAUGCCGAUGUUGUGGCAAAGGGUGAGCUAGGCCUUUGCUGAAGUCUGGGGGUAGUUUGAGGGAUUUUCUUUAGGUUACGCAAAGCCUGGCUUCAAAGUCUGUGUCAAAAUUGGGGUGAUUAGAGACAGGAGUUUUUCCUGACCUUGUGGCCCCUUACCUGCAAAAAUGUUGAAUAUUAUUAUUUUUUUUUUUUAAUUUAUAUUUUUUUUAGCUUUUUGGUUAGUAUACAGUAUAGUCCAGUGAUUAAGUUCAUAGAGAGAUUUUGGUUUAGCUGUGUGAUGUUGGCCCAUUAUCUACUCUCUAGUCUCCUCUGUACAUUUUUAUUCUCAGGAGGCCACCCACUACACCAUUGAUGCCCUAGUUGAGAGGUAGUCUGACUCAAAAUUGCAUUUUUUUCCCGCCAAUAUCAAGUUAAAUGCAGGGAAGGUCUGGAAGCUGUUUUCUUAGAUGAGUAUGGACAAAAACUUUCAGGAGUCUCAGAAAUUACUAUUUAAUGAGAGCAAAGAUGAUUUAAAUGAAACGAAGAGAAAGUUAGAGGAGAGAAGUCAUUCUUUGUUACGCACUGACCAUAGAGAGCCCUUGUUUCUCUAUGGUGUAGUAGGUCAGGGCGUGACUGGGGAUAUUCCAGUUUAUUAUUUCUAUGUGGUGUUCUAGUUUAUUUUUCUAUGUUGGUGAUUUGUAUGAUUCCCAAUUAGAGGCAGCUGGUAAUCAUUGUCUCUAAUUACUCUAAUUACUCCCUUACUGCUGCUCGAUCAUCCUAUUUUUCUAACUUAAUUGAGGAAAAUAAGAACAAUCCGAAAUUCCUUUUUGAUACUGUCGCAAAGCUAACUAAAAAGCAGCAUUCCCCAAGAGAGGAUGACUUUCACUUUAGCAGUGAUAAAUUCAUGAACUUC